GACGAACGCUGGCGGCAUGCCUAAUACAUGCAAGUCGAACGGAGUAUAAUAAGAAGCUUGCUUCUUCUUAUACUUAGUGGCGGACGGGUGAGUAACACGUAGGCAACCUGCCUGUAAGUCGGGGAUAACUCACGGAAACGUGAGCUAAGACCGGAUAGUCGAGAGGAAGGCAUCUUCUUCUUGGGAAAGACGGAGCAAUCUGUCGCUUAUGGAUGGGCCUGCGGCGCAUUAGCUAGUUGGUGAGGUAACGGCUCACCAAGGCGACGAUGCGUAGCCGACCUGAGAGGGUGAACGGCCACACUGGGACUGAGACACGGCCCAGACUCCUACGGGAGGCUG
Molecule: ribosomal RNA, 339 nt
Filed under: uncultured Bacillota bacterium
Lineage: Bacteria; Bacillati; Bacillota
Description: bacterial SSU rRNA
Rfam family: Bacterial small subunit ribosomal RNA
Source: RNAcentral